UACGAAGGGGGCUAGCGUUGCUCGGAAUGACUGGGCGUAAAGGGCGCGUAGGCGGAUGGCACAGUCAGAUGUGAAAUUCCCGGGCUUAACCUGGGGGCUGCAUUUGAUACGUGUGAUCUGGAGUGAGGAAGAGGGUCGUGGAAUUCCCAGUGUAGAGGUGAAAUUCGUAGAUAUUGGGAAGAACACCGGUGGCGAAGGCGGCGACCUGGUACUUGACUGACGCUGAGAAGCGAAAGCAUGGGGAGCGAACAGG
Molecule: ribosomal RNA, 253 nt
Filed under: uncultured bacterium
Lineage: Bacteria
Description: partial 16S ribosomal RNA
Rfam family: Bacterial small subunit ribosomal RNA
Source: RNAcentral